AACGCAUAUUGCGCCCACUAGUAUUCUGGUGGGCAUGCCUAUUCGAGCGUCAUUUCAACCCUUAAGCCCUGUUGCUUAGUGUUAGGAGCCUACUACCUUAUGGCGUAGCUCCCUAAAGGCAGUGGCGGUGUUAGGUACACUCGUAGCGUAGUAAUUCUUUUUCUCGCUCCUGUUGUGUACCUAGGGCCUGCCGUAAAACCCCUAUACUUCUAGUGGUUGACCUCGGAUUAGGUAGGAAUACCCGCUGAACUUAA
This 254-nucleotide unclassified non-coding RNA is filed under the name uncultured Hypoxylon. RNAcentral describes it as "sequence contains ITS2". The record is from RNAcentral. Lineage: Eukaryota; Fungi; Ascomycota; Sordariomycetes; Xylariales; Xylariaceae.